GACGAACGCUGGCGGCGUGCUUAACACAUGCAAGUCGAACGGAAAGGCCCUGCUUUUGUGGGGUGCUCGAGUGGCGAACGGGUGAGUAACACGUGUGUAACCUGCCCUUGACUUUGGGAUAACUUCAGGAAACUGGGGCUAAUACCGGAUAGGAGCUCCUGCUGCAUGGUGGGGGUUGGAAAGUUUCGGCGGUUGGGGAUGGACUCGCGGCUUAUCAGCUUGUUGGUGGGGUAGUGGCUUACCAAGGCUUUGACGGGUAGCCGGCCUGAGAGGGUGACCGGCCACAUUGGGACUGAGAUACGGCCCAGACUCCUACGGGAGGCAGCAGUGGGGAAUAUUGCACAAUGGGCGGAAGCCUGAUGCGGCAACGCCGCGUGCGGGAUGACGGCCUUCGGGUUGUAAACCGCUUUCGCCUGUGACGAAGCGUGAGUGACGGUAAUGGGUAAAGAAGCACCGGCUAACUACGUG
This 468-nucleotide ribosomal RNA is filed under the name uncultured bacterium. Its description in RNAcentral is "partial 16S ribosomal RNA". It matches the Rfam family "Bacterial small subunit ribosomal RNA", at positions 28 to 507 of the family's 1533-position model. The record is from RNAcentral.